This 830-nucleotide ribosomal RNA is filed under the name uncultured bacterium. RNAcentral's name for it is "bacterial SSU rRNA". It matches the Rfam family "Bacterial small subunit ribosomal RNA", at positions 76 to 922 of the family's 1533-position model. The record is from RNAcentral.
GACUUCGGUUUUGUGGUGAGUGGCGAACGGGUGAGUAACACGUGAGUAACCUGCCCCGAACUUUGGGAUAACGGCUCGAAAGGGCUGCUAAUACCGGAUAUUGAAUCUCUGUCGCAUGGUGGGGGUUUGAAAGUUUUUUCGGUUCGGGAUGGGCUCGCGGCCUAUCAGCUUGUUGGUGGAGUGAUGGCCUACCAAGGCGUCGACGGGUAGCCGGCCUGAGAGGGCGACCGGCCACACUGGGACUGAGAUACGGCCCAGACUCCUACGGGAGGCAGCAGUGGGGAAUAUUGCACAAUGGGCGGAAGCCUGAUGCAGCAACGCCGCGUGCGGGAUGAAGGCCUUCGGGUUGUAAACCGCUUUCAGUCGGGACGAAUGUGACGGUACCGACAGAAGAAGCACCGGCUAACUACGUGCCAGCAGCCGCGGUGAUACGUAGGGUGCGAGCGUUGUCCGGAUUUAUUGGGCGUAAAGAGCUCGUAGGUGGUUCGUUGCGUCGGAAGUGAAAACUUGGGGCUCAACCCUAAGCUUGCUUUCGAUACGGGCGGACUUGAGGAAGGUAGGGGAGAACGGAAUUCCUGGUGGAGCGGUGGAAUGCGCAGAUAUCAGGAGGAACACCGGUGGCGAAGGCGGUUCUCUGGACCUUUCCUGACGCUGAGGAGCGAAAGCGUGGGGAGCAAACAGGCUUAGAUACCCUGGUAGUCCACGCCGUAAACGGUGGGCACUAGGUGUGGGGGACAUUCCACGUUCUCCGUGCCGUAGCUAACGCAUUAAGUGCCCCGCCUGGGGAGUACGGCCGCAAGGCUAAAACUCAAAGGAAUUGACGGGGGCCC